GGAGGGGGCGAGCGUUAUUCGGAAUUAUUGGGCGUAAAGGGCGCGUAGGCGGCCCGGUAAGUCAAAGGUGAAAUCCCUCGGCUCAACUGAGGAACUGCCUUUGAAACUGUCGGGCUUGAGGCCGGGAGGGGGUAGCGGAAUUCCCAGUGUAGCGGUGAAAUGCGUAGAUAUUGGGAGGAACACCAGUGGCGAAGGCGGCCCUCUGGACGAGUACUGACGCUGAGGCGCGAAAGCGUGGGGAGCAAACAGGAUUAGAUACCCUGGUAGUCCACGCCGUAAACGUUGGGCACUAGGUGUGGGGGGACGUCAACUCCUUCCGUGCCGCAGCUAACGCAGUAAGUGCCCCGCCUGGGGAGUACGGCCGCAAGGCUA
Molecule: ribosomal RNA, 372 nt
Filed under: uncultured bacterium
Lineage: Bacteria
Description: bacterial SSU rRNA
Rfam family: Bacterial small subunit ribosomal RNA
Source: RNAcentral